GACGAACGCUGGCGGCGUGCUUAACACAUGCAAGUCGAACGGAAAUGCCCUGCUUUUGUGGGGUGCUCGAGUGGCGAACGGGUGAGUAACACGUGAGUCACCUGCCCUUGACUUUGGGAUAACUUCAGGAAACUGGGGCUAAUACCGGAUAGUAGCUCCUGCUGCAUGGUUGGGGUUGGAAAGUUUCGGCGGUUGGGGAUGGACUCGCGGCUUAUCAGCUUGUUGGUGGGGUAGUGGCUUACCAAGGCUUUGACGGGUAGCCGGCCUGAGAGGGUGACCGGCCAAAUUGGGAAUGAGAUACGGCCCAGACUCCUACGGGAGGCAGCAGUGGGGAAUAUUGCACAAUGGGCGGAAGCCUGAUGCAGCAAAGCCGCGUGCGGGAUGACGGCCUUCGGGUUGUAAACCGCUUUCGCCUGUGACGAAGAGUGAGUGACGGUAAUGGGUAAAGAAGCACCGGCUAAAUACGUG
RNAcentral lists this ribosomal RNA (468 nucleotides) under uncultured bacterium. Its description in RNAcentral is "partial 16S ribosomal RNA". It matches the Rfam family "Bacterial small subunit ribosomal RNA", at positions 28 to 507 of the family's 1533-position model. The record is from RNAcentral.